UGAGUACGGCGGGACACGUGAAACCCCGUCGGAACCCGCGAGGACCAUCUCGCAAGGCUAAAUACUCCCUAGUGACCGAUAGUGAACCAGUACCGUGAGGGAAAGGUGAAAAGCACCCCGGAAGGGGAGUGAAAUAGUUCCUGAAACCAUGUGCUUACAAGCUGUCGGAGCCCGUUAAUGGGUGACGGCGUGCCUCUUGCAGAAUGAACCGGCGAGUUACGAUUGCAUGCAAGGUUAAGGUGGAAAAACCGGAGCCGUAGCGAAAGCGAGUCUUAAAUGGGCGUAAGAAGUAUGUAGUUGUAGACCCGAAAUCAGGUGACCUACCCAUGUCCAGGUUGAAGGUGCGGUAAAGCGCACUGGAGGACCGAACCCGUGUCAGUUGAAAAUGGCUGGGAUGAGGUGUGGGUAGCGGUGAAAUUCCAAACGAACUUGGAGAUAGCUGGUUCUCUCCGAAAUCUCUUUAGGGGGAGCCUUGAGGUAAAGAAUCGUGGAGGUAGAGCUACUGUUUGGACAAGGGGCCCGUCAUGGGUUACCAACUUCAGAUAAACUCCGAAUGCCAUCGAUUUAUACUCAGGAGUCAGACGAUGAGUGAUAAGAUCCACCGUCGAAAGGGGAACAGCCCAGAUCACCAGUUAAGGUCCCUAAAUAUAUGCUAAGUGGAAAAGGAUGUGGAGUUGCAUAGACAACUAGGAUGUUGGCUUAGAAGCAGCCMCAUUUAAAGAGUGCGUAAUAGCUCA
This 737-nucleotide ribosomal RNA is filed under the name Limosilactobacillus reuteri. RNAcentral's name for it is "bacterial LSU rRNA". It matches the Rfam family "Bacterial large subunit ribosomal RNA", at positions 409 to 1145 of the family's 2925-position model. Lineage: Bacteria; Bacillati; Bacillota; Bacilli; Lactobacillales; Lactobacillaceae. The record is from RNAcentral.